This 24-nucleotide non-coding RNA is filed under the name Rattus norvegicus (Norway rat). The record is from RNAcentral. Lineage: Eukaryota; Metazoa; Chordata; Mammalia; Rodentia; Muridae.
UUUACAUCUUUACAAUGACUUUCC